AGAGAUGCACUGGGUUUAAAGGGUGCGCAGGCGGUUUUGUAAGACAGAGGUGAAAUCCCCGGGCUCAACCUGGGAACUGCCUUUGUGACUGCAAGGCUGGAGUGCGGCAGAGGGGGAUGGAAUUCCGCGUGUAGCAGUGAAAUGCGUAGAUAUGCGGAGGAACACCGAUGGCGAAGGCAAUCCCCUGGGCCUGCACUGACGCUCAUGCACGAAAGCGUGGGGAGCAAACA
Molecule: ribosomal RNA, 230 nt
Filed under: uncultured Alicycliphilus sp.
Lineage: Bacteria; Pseudomonadati; Pseudomonadota; Betaproteobacteria; Burkholderiales; Comamonadaceae
Description: partial 16S ribosomal RNA
Rfam family: Bacterial small subunit ribosomal RNA
Source: RNAcentral